RNAcentral lists this non-coding RNA (188 nucleotides) under Clostridiales bacterium UBA8153. RNAcentral describes it as "6S RNA". It matches the Rfam family "6S / SsrS RNA". Rfam says of the family: E. coli 6S RNA was the first non coding RNA to be sequenced, but its function was unknown until recently. It consists of 184 nucleotides that fold into an extended hairpin structure with a large single-stranded internal bulge. The 6S RNA specifically associates with RNA polymerase holoenzyme containing the sigma70 specificity factor. The record is from RNAcentral. Lineage: Bacteria; Bacillati; Bacillota; Clostridia; Eubacteriales; Clostridiales Family XVII. Incertae Sedis.
AAAGCCCUGCUGUGCUCGUUGCAACUCUGAUGGUUUAAGCCAACACCAACACCUUGGGGACUUAGCUUCUCCGCGCGGCACUCAGGCCCCCGCCCGACGGCGAUGGGGAGGAGCAAAGGCGGUGAGAGGGUACCCACCUGCGAGAGCAGGUUUAAAACCGUCAGGUGCCACGGCAUGGUGGGGUUUCC